RNAcentral lists this ribosomal RNA (253 nucleotides) under uncultured bacterium. RNAcentral's name for it is "partial 16S ribosomal RNA". It matches the Rfam family "Bacterial small subunit ribosomal RNA", at positions 524 to 776 of the family's 1533-position model. The record is from RNAcentral.
UACGGAGGGUGCAAGCGUUAAUCGGAAUUACUGGGCGUAAAGCGUGCGCAGGCGGUUUGUUAAGUCCGUUGUGAAAGCCCCGAGCUCAACUUGGGAAUUGCAGUGGAUACUGGCAGGCUGGAGUACGGUAGAGGAAGGUGGAAUUCCCGGUGUAGCAGUGAAAUGCGUAGAUAUCGGGAGGAACACCAGAGGCGAAGGCGGCUACCUGGACAAUUGCUGACGCUCAGGCACGAAAGCGUGGGGAGCAAAAGGG